RNAcentral lists this ribosomal RNA (321 nucleotides) under Triticum aestivum (bread wheat). RNAcentral's name for it is "partial small subunit ribosomal RNA". Lineage: Eukaryota; Viridiplantae; Streptophyta; Magnoliopsida; Poales; Poaceae. The record is from RNAcentral.
AUGGUACUUCUGCUUAUCACCCUUUCCAGCCCAGAAGAAUCUGGAUUGGUACUUGGCGAUUUCCUGAUGAAGCGUCUCAUGAAGGCUGUAGAAGCUCAUGAGGAACCAAAGAAGGCUGGCAAGCGAGGAGUUAAUAUUGAGGAUCACGCGAGCAGCCUUCGACAGCCAGCGCCCUUUCCAGGGCUCAACCCGAUGUUGCAUCUGGGUCACCGUAAGCAAAGAUGGCUUCAUUUAGUAUUAACUUGUAGACUCAUCCUUUCUCGAGAAACGCUAUGUUACAGUAAGCAAAAUUUUCUUGGAAUGCGCUAUGUUUCUACCUAA